RNAcentral lists this long non-coding RNA (805 nucleotides) under Homo sapiens (human). RNAcentral's name for it is "HSALNT0203594". The record is from RNAcentral. Lineage: Eukaryota; Metazoa; Chordata; Mammalia; Primates; Hominidae.
CCCCUCUGAAGCAGAGAUUCCUCCUCUGGCUCCUAAAGCUCCUAUUGUUCCCAUUUUAUUUGAACUGCCUCUCUCUCUCAUUAGACUGUGAUCUCUGUGAGCACUGUAAGUUCAGAAAAAAGCGCCCAGUGGUGUUGAAUCAUUGGAUUGGUGUCUCCAGGGUCACCGUGCUAUUAUGAGGAUCAAAUGGCCUCUAUUGGAGCUACUAACCAAAAAAUGAAAAGGAACUAGACCCAGAGAGGAUCAAAUGUGUAAAUGCCAAUUCAGAGAGGUGAGCAAAGCAGGAAGAAAGAAAGAAGGAGGGGAGGUCAAGAUGAGAACUCUGCUGACUCCUGAUUCUCCAAGAAUGGAGAAGAUCAGGGAAAGUCUGAAUGAAGGCCAGCAGGCAGUAUCAGCCGAACCAAGAAGGGCCAUAAAGCUGCAGACCAGGAAAUCUGCCCUCUGAGAGCACAGAAUUUAGAAUGGACAGCAAAUUUAGUAAAAGUAGGUGUUCCAGCUAGAAGAUUUGGAUGAAAAGUGAUUCCAAAAAAAUGAGGCAAUCUCAUCCCGAAACUAUUUAAAACUACUCUCCUCUCUCUUGAUAAACCGUCAGUAGGAAGUGUGUCGUUUAUUCCCUCACUCCACACUGGAUUCAUAUGGGCUGAUAGCAGCAGGAUUAAAAAUUUUUUUCAUCAUGAGUUAAAUCCCUAAGAUUUAGAGUAUUUUGUUUGUCUGAAUGUCUAAGCGGUACAAACCUUAGCAAUCCAUAUUAAAAUGGAGAAUUCCUUCUUUUGGUAUUCACAAGCAUAACAUACAUAAUCCUUUA